Molecule: ribosomal RNA, 267 nt
Filed under: Bacillus nitratireducens
Lineage: Bacteria; Bacillati; Bacillota; Bacilli; Caryophanales; Bacillaceae
Description: 16S rRNA. Bacterial SSU
Rfam family: Bacterial small subunit ribosomal RNA
Source: RNAcentral
CUUUAUUGGAGAGUUUGAUCCUGGCUCAGGAUGAACGCUGGCGGCGUGCCUAAUACAUGCAAGUCGAGCGAAUGGAUUGAGAGCUUGCUCUCAAGAAGUUAGCGGCGGACGGGUGAGUAACACGUGGGUAACCUGCCCAUAAGACUGGGAUAACUCCGGGAAACCGGGGCUAAUACCGGAUAACAUUUUGAACUGCAUGGUUCGAAAUUGAAAGGCGGCUUCGGCUGUCACUUAUGGAUGGACCCGCGUCGCAUUAGCUAGUUGGUG